UGAACCAGCCAACGUAACAACAAGAUAUUCCAGUUUUGCUUCUGCUGGACCUGUCAUCACAGCAACAAUGUCAUCAUCAUCACUUGGAUAAACAGCAUCCCUGUUGAUUGGAGAUUCUACCCAUGGCCGAGCUACGUAUCUCUUCCUCCCCCCUUUCUUUAAAAUGUCCUCGUGUACACUUCAUGUGAGUGUGGGUGUAUUCACGAGGACCCCCUUUUCUCCCUAUCCCGCCUGGUGGACUCAACUUUUCGGCGGAUGGAUGGAGUUUCACUUAAGUGGAUGGAUGCCUGGCUGAAUUUCCCAGGCUCAAAGUUAGAUUGUGCGCGCGGAGAUUCUCGAUAGGAAAAAAACAGACAAGAUAAGACAACGAGGAUUGGAUGAGUAUUUGAUUCCGGCCCAAGACGACGAGAGAUGCGUGAAAGCAAAGGGAAACUCUCUGGUGCUGGUUCUGGGGCGCUUGAU
Molecule: long non-coding RNA, 462 nt
Filed under: Daphnia pulicaria
Lineage: Eukaryota; Metazoa; Arthropoda; Branchiopoda; Diplostraca; Daphniidae
Description: uncharacterized LOC124312548, transcript variant X2
Source: RNAcentral